Molecule: ribosomal RNA, 98 nt
Filed under: Escherichia coli
Lineage: Bacteria; Pseudomonadati; Pseudomonadota; Gammaproteobacteria; Enterobacterales; Enterobacteriaceae
Description: partial 16S ribosomal RNA
Rfam family: Bacterial small subunit ribosomal RNA
Source: RNAcentral
UUAAAUUGAAGAGUUUGAUCAUGGCUCAGAUUGAACGCUGGCGGCAGGCCUAACACAUGCAAGUCGAACGGUAACAGGAAGCAGCUUGCUUCUUUGCU